This 468-nucleotide ribosomal RNA is filed under the name uncultured bacterium. RNAcentral's name for it is "partial 16S ribosomal RNA". It matches the Rfam family "Bacterial small subunit ribosomal RNA", at positions 28 to 507 of the family's 1533-position model. The record is from RNAcentral.
GACGAACGCUGGCGGCGUGCUUAACACAUGCAAGUCGAACGGAAAGGCCCUGCUUUUGUGGGGUGCUCGAGUGGCGAACGGGUGAGUAACACGUGAGUAACCUGCCCUUGACUUUGGGAUAACUUCAGGAAACUGGGGCUAAUACCGGAUAGGAGCUCCUGCUGCAUGGUGGGGGUUGGAAAGUUUCGGCGGUUGGGGAUGGACUCGCGGCUUAUCAGCUUGUUGGUGGGGUAGUGGCUUACCAAGGCUUUGACGGGUAGCCGGCCUGAGAGGGUGACCGGCCACAUUGGGACUGAGAUACGGCCCAGACUCCUACGGGAGGCAGCAGUGGGGAAAAUUGCACAAUGGGCGGAAGCCGGAUGCAGCAACGCCGCGUGCGGGAUGACGGCCUUCGGGUUGUAAACCGCUUUCGCCUGUGACGAAGCGUGAGUGACGGUAAUGGGUAAAGAAGCACCGGCUAACUACGUG